GACGGGGGGGGGCAAGUGUUCUUCGGAAUGACUGGGCGUAAAGGGCACGUAGGCGGUGAAUCGGGUUGAAAGUGAAAGUCGCCAAAAAGUGGCGGAAUGCUCUCGAAACCAAAUUCACUUGAGUGAGACAGAGGAGAGUGGAAUUUCCGUGUGUAGGGGUGAAAUCCGUAAAUAUACGAAGGAACGCCAAAAGCGAAGGACAGCUCUCUGGGUCCCUCACCGACGCUGGGGGUGCGAAAACAUGGGGGAGCGAACAG
RNAcentral lists this ribosomal RNA (257 nucleotides) under uncultured bacterium. RNAcentral describes it as "partial 16S ribosomal RNA". It matches the Rfam family "Bacterial small subunit ribosomal RNA", at positions 524 to 775 of the family's 1533-position model. The record is from RNAcentral.